UUUCUCCCCUGAUGACUUGCACUGGGCUCUGAGACAUAAUGGAGAGAAAAGUGCCCCUCUGGCCCUGACAUGCCAGAGUUACUGAGGAGAAA
Molecule: small nucleolar RNA, 92 nt
Organism: Scomber scombrus (Atlantic mackerel)
Lineage: Eukaryota; Metazoa; Chordata; Actinopteri; Scombriformes; Scombridae
Source: RefSeq, a predicted model, not a curated record